RNAcentral lists this unclassified non-coding RNA (387 nucleotides) under uncultured fungus. RNAcentral describes it as "sequence contains 18S rRNA gene, ITS1, 5.8S rRNA gene, ITS2, 28S rRNA gene". The record is from RNAcentral. Lineage: Eukaryota; Fungi.
AGGCGGGACGUAAUCAGGUUGAUUUUUCUUGGGCGAAUAUCAACAUUGACAAGGAUUCGAUCGUCUUUCGCGUGAUCAAGGGGGACGGCGCCAUCAAUGUGCUCAACACGAACUACCCGCCCAAUGAGAACGCGCUGUACUGGACGGUGAGCGCUGAAAAGGCCGGGCCGGCGGUGAUUCGCAUUUCGUACCUGAUUGGCAACAUGGCGACCGAUCCGAGCUACCAGGGAAUCGUGGACAAUGACGAGAAAAAACUGCUGUUGCAGCUUUACAUGACGGUGACCAACACCAGCGGCGAGAGUUUUGGGGAAACAGUCGUGCAGCCCGGCGUGGGGAAAACCACGGUGGGGUAUUUCAAUAAUGGCGAACGGAAACGAAUGCUGGCGG